GACGAACGCUGGCGGCGUGCCUAAUACAUGCAAGUCGAACGAGAGCGACCGGUGCUUGCACUGGUCAAUCUAGUGGCGAACGGGUGAGUAACACGUGGGUAACCUGCCCAUCAGAGGGGGAUAACAUCCGGAAACGGAUGCUAAAACCGCAUAGGUCUUCGAACCGCAUGGUUUGAAGAGGAAAAGAGGCGCACGCUUCUGCUGAUGGAUGGACCCGCGGUGCAUUAGCUAGUUGGUGAGGUAACGGCUCACCAAGGCCGUGAUGCAUAGCCGACCUGAGAGGGUGAUCGGCCACAUUGGGACUGAGACACGGCCCAAACUCCUACGGGAGGCAGCAGUAGGGAAUCUUCCGCAAUGGACGCAAGUCUGACGGAGCAACGCCGCGUGAGUGAAGAAGGUUUUCGGAUCGUAAAACUCUGUUGUUAGAGAAGAACAAGUGCUAGAGUAACUGUUAGCGCCUUGACGGUAUCUAACCAGAAAGCCACGGCUAACUACGUG
This 498-nucleotide ribosomal RNA is filed under the name uncultured bacterium. Its description in RNAcentral is "partial 16S ribosomal RNA". It matches the Rfam family "Bacterial small subunit ribosomal RNA", at positions 28 to 507 of the family's 1533-position model. The record is from RNAcentral.